Molecule: long non-coding RNA, 951 nt
Filed under: Brassica rapa (field mustard)
Lineage: Eukaryota; Viridiplantae; Streptophyta; Magnoliopsida; Brassicales; Brassicaceae
Description: long non-coding RNA (BRAP_LNC001849)
Source: RNAcentral
AUUCUGGACGUGGAUCAUGAUAUAAUUGUAAAUGGCUGUCUGUUUAGAUGUCCAAGUCCAAGAAAAUGGACAAUAUUUGACUUUUAUGAGAUAAAACCACUAUAUUAGAUACGACUUAGAAAUAUAACAUGAGCAUCAAGUCGAUCAUGUUAAAUCGUGUCGUAUAUUGAGUUUUUGAUAGGAAUUUACACAUGCUUUAGUAAAAAAGUAUAUUUUUAAACGCUAAAAUCAGAUAAACAACUAAUCGACCUCACCGACAUAAAGUCAGCUAAGUAGAAUAUCACAUGUACGUGGCCCAAACGUAUCAUAUUACGGCUGGAUCAGAUUCAAAUCAGUAGUGUGGACCAUCAACAACUUAUGCCACACCCACGCAAAAGAUAACACGGUUUAAAAGAUUUUUUUUUUUUUUUUUGGUAAAUAUGUUAUGAUUGCAUUACCAUUUUAAAAUUUGUGACAGAAGUUACAGAGAAUCACUAGUAGCAGAAGACAAACGCCAAAAAGAAACUACAACACAACAACAAAUACAGUAAGAAAAACGCGAGUAUGAGCUGAACCUAGAAGUAGAAGAGAGAACACACGGGAAGAACUUGAAAGGGUUGCUAAGAGCGAGCAGCACGCAAGAUCGAACUCCAAAGGAAGGCGCCAGUUAAAACAUGAGUCACGAGCCGGUAUAGUUGGCUUCCCCAGGCACUCGCCUCCAAAAAAAUGGCCUUACCACAAAGGUCCUACCACCUGCAACUGCACAGAUACCAACUAGAGCUUGGAAUUCAGAAUAGACGACAAUGGGGCCGUACCGAAACGGCGGAACCGACGAACCAGAGCCUGUCGAAGCACCGGACACCAAGCACAGCAAAACAGCCACCUCUACUCCUCCUUCCUGAAACUCACAUGCACCUGAGAACUCUAAAACACGGUUUAAAAGAUAUUACCACUAUACAUAAUAGAUGCAUG